AGUGAGGAAUCUUCCGCAAUGGGCGAAAGCCUGACGGAGCGACACCGCGUGGAGGACGAAGGCCUUUUGGUUGUAAACUCCUUUUCUGGGGGAAUAAAUGAUGAAGGUACCCCAGGAAUAAGCACCGGCUAACUACGUGCCAGCAGCCGCGGUAAUACGUAGGGUGCAAGCGUUAUCCGGAAUUAUUGGGCGUAAAGCGUUCGUAGGUGGUUUAGAAAGUUUGUAGUUAAAUAUGGUCGCUCAACGAUCAAGUCGUUACAAAAACUCCUAAACUAGAGAUUGGCAGAGGCAACUGGAAUUCCACAUGUAGGGGUAAAAUCCGUUGAUAUGUGGAGGAACACCAAAAGCGAAGGCAGGUUGCUGGGCCAUUUCUGACGCUGAGGAACGAAAGCGUGGGGAGCAAACAGGAUUAGAUACCCUGGUAGUCCACGCCGUAAACGAUGGAUACUCGAUGUAGGGAGGAAUCGACCCCUCUCUGUGUCCAAGCUAACGCGUUAAGUAUCCCGCCUGGGGAGUACGGUCGCAAGAUUAAAACUCAAAGGAAUAGACGGGGACCCACACAAGCGGUGGAGCAUGUGGUUUAAUUCGACAGUAAACGGGGAACCUUACCAGGGCUUGACAUCUCCGGAAUCCCGAGGAAACUUGGGAGUGCCGUAAGGAACUGGAUGACGGGUGCUGCAUGGUCGUCGUCAGCUCGUGCCUUGAGGUGUUCGGUUAAGUCCGUAAACGAGCGCAACCCAUGUCUUAUGUUGUAUAUUUCAUAAGAGACUGCCGGCUCCAAGUCGGAGGAAGGUAUGGAUGACGUCAGAUCAGCAUGGCCCUUAUGCCCUGGGCCACACACGUGCUACAAUGGCCGGUACAAUGGGUAGCCAACCCGCAAGGGGGAGCCAAUCUCAUCAAAGCCGGUCCAAGUUCGGAUUGGGGGCUGAAAUUCGACCCCAUGAAGUUGGAAUCGCUAGUAACCGCAAAUCAGCUAUGUUGCGGUGAAUAUGUUCCUGGGUCUUGUACUCACCGCCCGUCACAUCAUGAAAGAUGGGGGUGCCCGAAGUCGCCUUAUCCCCUCGGGGAGGGUGCCUAAGGUAAAACCAUUGAUUGGGAUG
Molecule: ribosomal RNA, 1100 nt
Filed under: uncultured bacterium
Lineage: Bacteria
Description: bacterial SSU rRNA
Rfam family: Bacterial small subunit ribosomal RNA
Source: RNAcentral